This 1343-nucleotide ribosomal RNA is filed under the name uncultured bacterium. RNAcentral describes it as "16S ribosomal RNA". It matches the Rfam family "Bacterial small subunit ribosomal RNA", at positions 28 to 1378 of the family's 1533-position model. The record is from RNAcentral.
GACGAACGCUGGCGGCGUGCUUAACACAUGCAAGUCGAACGGAAAGGCCCUGCUUUUGUGGGGUGCUCGAGUGGCGAACGGGUGAGUAACACGUGAGUAACCUGCCCUUGACUUUGGGAUAACUUCAGGAAACUGGGGCUAAUACCGGAUAGGAGCUCCUGCUGCAUGGUGGGGGUUGGAAAGUUUCGGCGGUUGGGGAUGGACUCGCGGCUUAUCAGCUUGUUGGUGGGGUAGUGGCUUACCAAGGCUUUGACGGGUAGCCGGCCUGAGAGGGUGACCGGCCACAUUGGGACUGAGAUACGGCCCAGACUCCUACGGGAGGCAGCAGUGGGGAAUAUUGCACAAUGGGCGGAAGCCUGAUGCAGCAACGCCGCGUGCGGGAUGACGGCCUUCGGGUUGUAAACCGCUUUCGCCUGUGACGAAGCGUGAGUGACGGUAAUGGGUAAAGAAGCACCGGCUAACUACGUGCCAGCAGCCGCGGUGAUACGUAGGGUGCGAGCGUUGUCCGGAUUUAUUAGGCGUAAAGGGCUCGUAGGUGGUUGAUCGCGUCGGAAGUGUAAUCUUGGGGCUUAACCCUGAGCGUGCUUUCGAUACGGGUUGACUUGAGGAAGGUAGGGGAGAAUGGAAUUCCUGGUGGAGCGGUGGAAUGCGCAGAUAUCAGGAGGAACACCAGUGGCGAAGGCGGUUCUCUGGGCCUUUCCUGACGCUGAGGAGCGAAAGCGUGGGGAGCGAACAGGCUUAGAUACCCUGGUAGUCCACGCUGUAAACGGUGGGUACUAGGUGUGGGGUCCAUUCCACGGGUUCCGUGCCGUAGCUAACGCUUUAAGUACCCCGCCUGGGGAGUACGGCCGCAAGGCUAAAACUCAAAGGAAUUGACGGGGCCCCGCACAAGCGGCGGAGCAUGCGGAUUAAUUCGAUGCAACGCGUAGAACCUUACCUGGGUUUGACAUGGAUCGGGAGUGCUCAGAGAUGGGUGUGCCUCUUUUGGGGUCGGUUCACAGGUGGUGCAUGGCUGUCGUCAGCUCGUGUCGUGAGAUGUUGGGUUAAGUCCCGCAACGAGCGCAACCCUUGUUCACUGUUGCCAGCACGUUAUGGUGGGGACUCAGUGGAGACCGCCGGGGUCAACUCGGAGGAAGGUGGGGAUGACGUCAAGUCAUCAUGCCCCUUAUGUCCAGGGCUUCACGCAUGCUACAAUGGCUGGUACAGAGAGUGGCGAGCCUGUGAGGGUGUGCGAAUCUCGGAAAGCCGGUCUCAGUUCGGAUUGGGGUCUGCAACUCGACCUCAUGAAGUCGGAGUCGCUAGUAAUCGCAGAUCAGCAACGCUGCGGUGAAUACGUUCCCGGG